AACGAACGCUGGCGGCAGGCUUAACACAUGCAAGUCGAACGGGUGUAGCAAUACAUCAGUGGCAGACGGGUGAGUAACACGUGGGAACCUUCCUAGGGGUACGGAACAACUCAGGGAAACUUGAGCUAAUACCGUAUACGUCCGUGAGGAGAAAGAUUUAUCGCCCUUAGACGGGCCCGCGUCGGAUUAGCUGGUUGGUGGGGUAACGGCCUACCAAGGCGACGAUCCGUAGCUGAUCUUAGAGGAUGAUCAGCCACACUGGGACUGAGACACGGCCCAGACUCCUACGGGAGGCAGCAGUGGGGAAUCUUGGACAAUGGGCGCAAGCCUGAUCCAGCCAUGCCGCGUGAGUGAAGAAGGUCUUCGGAUUGUAAAGCUCUUUUGCCAGGGACGAUAAUGACAGUACCUGGAGAAUAAGCCCCGGCAAACUUCGUGCCAGCCGCCGCCGUAA
RNAcentral lists this ribosomal RNA (451 nucleotides) under uncultured bacterium. RNAcentral's name for it is "partial 16S ribosomal RNA". It matches the Rfam family "Bacterial small subunit ribosomal RNA", at positions 29 to 523 of the family's 1533-position model. The record is from RNAcentral.